This 471-nucleotide ribosomal RNA is filed under the name uncultured bacterium. RNAcentral describes it as "bacterial SSU rRNA". It matches the Rfam family "Bacterial small subunit ribosomal RNA", at positions 329 to 793 of the family's 1533-position model. The record is from RNAcentral.
GCAGACACUCCUACGGGAGGCAGCAGUGGGGAAUAUUGCACAAUGGGCGCAAGCCUGAUGCAGCCAUGCCGCGUGUAUGAAGAAGGCCUUCGGGUUGUAAAGUACUUUCAGCAGUGAGGAAGGUGGGUAUGUUAAUAGCAUACUCAUUUGACGUUAGCUGCAGAAGAAGCACCGGCUAACUCCGUGCCAGCAGCCGCGGUAAUACGGAGGGUGCGAGCGUUAAUCGGAAUUACUGGGCGUAAAGCGCAUGCAGGUGGUUUGUUAAGUCAGAUGUGAAAGCCCGGGGCUCAACCUCGGAAUUGCAUUUGAAACUGGCAAACUAGAGUACUGUAGAGGGGGUAGAAUUUCAGGUGUAGCGGUGAAAUGCGUAGAGAUCUGAAGGAAUACCGGUGGCGAAGGCGGCCCCCUGGACAGAUACUGACACUCAGAUGCGAAAGCGUGGGGAGCAAACAGGAUUAGAUACCCUGGUAG